Molecule: ribosomal RNA, 376 nt
Filed under: uncultured bacterium
Lineage: Bacteria
Description: bacterial SSU rRNA
Rfam family: Bacterial small subunit ribosomal RNA
Source: RNAcentral
UACGUAGGAGGCGAGCGUUAUCCGGAUUUAUUGGGCGUAAAGAGCGCGUAGGCGGGCCGGUAGGUCUUGCGUGAAAGGUGAGGGCUCAACCCUCACACGUCGCACGAUACCGCUGGUCUUGAGGCAGUCAGGGGAUGACGGAAUUCCGCGAGGAGUGGUGAAAUGCGUAGAUACGCGGAGGAACACCGGUGGCGAAGGCGGUCAUCUGGGGCUGUCCUGACGCUGAGGCGCGAAAGCCAGGGGAGCGAACGGGAUUAGAUACCCCGGUAGUCCUGGCCCUAAACGAUGGACACUAGGUGUGGGAGGUAUCGACCCCUUCCGUGCCGGCGCUAACGCAGUAAGUGUCCCGCCUGGGGAGUACGGUCGCAAGACUAAA